RNAcentral lists this ribosomal RNA (253 nucleotides) under uncultured bacterium. RNAcentral describes it as "partial 16S ribosomal RNA". It matches the Rfam family "Bacterial small subunit ribosomal RNA", at positions 524 to 776 of the family's 1533-position model. The record is from RNAcentral.
UACAGAGGUCCCAAGCGUUGUUCGGAUUCAUUGGGCGUAAAGGGUGCGUAGGCGGCGCGGUAAGUCGGGUGUGAAAUCUCGGAGCUUAACUCCGAAACUGCAUUUGAUACUGCCGUGCUUGAGGACUGGAGAGGAGACUGGAAUUUACGGUGUAGCGGUGAAAUGCGUAGAUAUCGUAAGGAAGACCAGUGGCGAAGGCGAAUCUCUGGACAGUUACUGACACUGAGGCACGAAGGCCAGGGGAGCAAACGGG